This 73-nucleotide transfer RNA is filed under the name Stegodyphus mimosarum. It matches the Rfam family "tRNA". From Rfam's summary of the family: Transfer RNA (tRNA) molecules are approximately 80 nucleotides in length. Their secondary structure includes four short double-helical elements and three loops (D, anti-codon, and T loops). Lineage: Eukaryota; Metazoa; Arthropoda; Arachnida; Araneae; Eresidae. The record is from Rfam by way of RNAcentral.
ACCUUCGUGGUGUAGUGGUCAGCACACUCGACGCGUAACGCAGAGGUCCGGGGUUCGAUUCCCGGCGAAGACG